RNAcentral lists this long non-coding RNA (208 nucleotides) under Manihot esculenta (cassava). RNAcentral describes it as "long non-coding RNA (MESC_LNC001057)". Lineage: Eukaryota; Viridiplantae; Streptophyta; Magnoliopsida; Malpighiales; Euphorbiaceae. The record is from RNAcentral.
GAAAGUCUCUUUUCGGGGGCAACUUCGGCAGCCGAAAGGCCUGCCUCUCAAGCCAUGUUCGGCGGCCGAAAGUUCCUUCGGCUGCCGAACCUGGUUUCUGCCAAAAGGCAGAAACUUGGCUCCCUUUGCACAAAAUUUUCUCCCAUCCAAUCCAACAUGCAUAUAACUCACCAAAUCAUGCAAAUAUACAUACAUUGGCUCCUAGGGG